CUGAGGUCCAGAGAGCGGCAGGCACACGCGGGACAGCUCGCGGGCUGGGAGCUGUGCAGCUGCGGGGACCGACGCGCGGCCCGAACCGCGGCGUGCGGCAGCCCGCGGUCUCCCUCCCAGGGCUGGGGCGGGGGAAAGCCCAAGAGCCCGGGCCCCAGCGUUAGCCACGGCGACAGUGAUCACAGCGUGGGGCCGCUGCCAGCCCAGCGUCCUUAACGGAAGGCGGUAGGGUGGCAGCUAGGGAGGCCGAGUGGGCGGGCGGCUAAGGAAACCACCGCCCAGGCUACCACCGCGGGCGGCUCCGCUCGGGCGUGUUUGGGUCUGUUCCGGAGCCAGCGGGCGGUCAGAGGAACCGCUUCAGCGUUGACAUCCCGUCGCCGCGGGAAAACCGAAGCCCGCGGGUGCACGAUCGCUCCUGCUGCCCCUACGACUGACUCCUCCGGCUCACCGUCUUCCCUCUGGGAGGAAGGGGCGGGACAUCCUGCCUUUCCGUUGAGCGACUUCCGGCGGCUCCCUGGACAACUCCGUCGUGAGCCGACCGCCGGACGCUACAGCCAAAAUACAGGAUCUCGGGACCGGUUUAGUAAAACCCACUCCAAGUACCCUUUUUCUUUGCCUCGAAUGGCCAACGGGUUCGUGUGCCGUCUUGUUUUCGGUACAUCAUCGCUUGCCGGAAGUCGCUCGGAGAUGAAGCCGGAAGUCCCACCUCUCCCCUAGAGAAAACGGAAAGCCGAGGGAGUCAGUCUAAAGGAGAGACCGUGGUCCGGCUGGGAAGCUGGCGGUGACGGCCGGGGUGGGCAACCUGGGACUUAGAAGGUCCGCGAGCGGGUUCCUCCCGGGCGACUCUGCCUCCGCGUCCCCUCCCCUCUCCAACCACCUCGCCGCCCGCCUUGGGAAACCCCGAGGGUGACGCGGAGAAGCCGACGCCCCGGGCGCUGCGAAGGCCUGCGGGGCCUUGACCCGGCCGGAGGGGUGCCGCUGCCGAGGCCCUCAUGUAGAGGACCCAGCAAUUUCUGCUGGGCCAGGCGCGUGCGCCCCUCCAGAUUAAGAGAAAAAGCUCUCCCGAGACUCAGAUUGGAGUCCUCGCAGUCACAGGCCGAAGGGAGUCAGGAGCCGAAUUCCGAGGCAAAGGAGUUCAGUGUGGUGGUUCAGUUGGGCAAUAAGAACCGAAAACGCCCCAGCGUGGACUGUUUGUGAACGUUAACGGCACAAGGAUUGGCCGAAGAAAGACACUGUGCGCCCCAGUCACAGCCCCUCUGCCCCUUGUGCAGGAGCAUCUAGGGCUUCGAGUCUAGAACCUCAGGACCCAGGAAGGAAGACCAAGUGCAAGGACAGCAGCACCUUAUCUAGAGACCUGGGGUUAGAUGGUGACGAAUUCUAACUUCUCUUGCAGACAGGGGCACCUGUUAAUCAGAAUUGUAUUUAGGAAGAUAAAGUGAGUAGGCUUUGAAAUAAUGCCCUUAUAGUAAUAAUGAUAGGCUUCCUACCCACAUCAUCUCUCACGGCCAAUUUCAACUCAGUGCUAUUUAAAUCAGACUAAUUAAGAUAGAUCCGUGAUUCAACUGGUGUGUGGCAAGAAUUUUUAAAACAUGCAAUACCGGACUAGUCAGGGGCACUGACCUCUUUUCCCUUUGAUUCUCAAAUUAAAAAACGGGGACAGCCAACAGGCGCCCAGCACACUGAGGUCCAGAGAGCGGCAGGCACACGCAGGACUGGUGUGAAUGAAUCAGAAUUACAUGUAUGUUUUUUGUCCCUGUGCUGCAGAACUUUAGUCAUUAGUUUAUGUGUGCCAUGAGAUGAAAAAGGUAAGUCGCUGGGAUAGAGAGCUUCUUGCAGACCUUAUCUGAAUCCUGAAUAGAAUCCGAAUGAAUGCUCAAGCCUUCCACGGCAGGAAAGGGCUGUUUAGAAGCAUCAACCUUCCCAAGAUCACACAGCUAGUAAAAGUAGGACUUGGCUCUAAACUCCGCAGUCAGACUUCCCCACUCUACCAUACUGACUCAGUAAUUGUCCAUUAAAAACUAUAGAAACUUGGAAAACAGGUUUCUCAGAACAGGUGAUCAGCUUGUCAAUGUUAUAUCUGUUUCGUUAAUGUUUACUGGAUGCCUAUUGAAUGAAAGAUAAUUAAAACUAAAUUUGGUCUUCAGAGUUCCCUAGAAAUGUACUUGAAAAUGUAGUGCUUAUAAAUAAAAUGUUUACCAUCUAUUUCAA
Molecule: long non-coding RNA, 2208 nt
Organism: Myotis myotis
Lineage: Eukaryota; Metazoa; Chordata; Mammalia; Chiroptera; Vespertilionidae
Exons: 2
Source: RefSeq, a predicted model, not a curated record